This 534-nucleotide ribosomal RNA is filed under the name uncultured bacterium. RNAcentral's name for it is "bacterial SSU rRNA". It matches the Rfam family "Bacterial small subunit ribosomal RNA", at positions 775 to 1310 of the family's 1533-position model. The record is from RNAcentral.
AGUCAAUAGAUACCCGGGUAGUCCACGCCGUAAACGAUGAGUACUAGGUGUAGGAGGUAUCGACUCCUUCUGUGCCGCAGUUAAACACAAUAAGUACUCCGCCUGGGAAGUACGGUCGCAAGAUUAAAACUCAAAGGAAUUGACGGGGGCCCGCACAAGCAGCGGAGCAUGUGGUUUAAUUCGAAGCAACGCGAAGAACCUUACCUAGACUUGACAUCUCCUGAAUAGCGUAGAGAUACGUGAAGCCCUUCGGGGCAGGAAGACAGGUGGUGCAUGGUUGUCGUCAGCUCGUGUCGUGAGAUGUUGGGUUAAGUCCCGCAACGAGCGCAACCCUUAUCAUUAGUUGCUACCAUUAAGUUGAGCACUCUAGUGAGACUGCCCGGGUUAACCGGGAGGAAGGCGGGGAUGACGUCAAAUCAUCAUGCCCCUUAUGUCUAGGGCUACACACGUGCUACAAUGGUGAGAACAACGAGAUGCAAUACCGCAGGUGAGCUAAACUUGAAAACUCAUCCCAGUUCGGAUUGUAGGCUGAAA